AAGGUUUUCGGAUCGUAAAGCUCUGUUGUUAGGGAAGAACAAGUACCGUUCGAAUAGGGCGGUACCUUGACGGUACCUAACCAGAAAGCCACGGCUAACUACGUGCCAGCAGCCGCGGUAAUACGUAGGUGGCAAGCGUUGUCCGGAAUUAUUGGGCGUAAAGGGCUCGCAGGCGGUUUCUUAAGUCUGAUGUGAAAGCCCCCGGCUCAACCGGGGAGGGUCAUUGGAAACUGGGGAACUUGAGUGCAGAAGAGGAGAGUGGAAUUCCACGUGUAGCGGUGAAAUGCGUAGAGAUGUGGAGGAACACCAGUGGCGAAGGCGACUCUCUGGUCUGUAACUGACGCUGAGGAGCGAAAGCGUGGGGAGCGAACAGGAUUAGAUACCCUGGUAGUCCACGCCGUAAACGAUGAGUGCUAAGUGUUAGGGGGUUUCCGCCCCUUAGUGCUGCAGCUAACGCAUUAAGCACUCCGCCUGGGGAGUACGGUCGCAAGACUGAAACUCAAAGGAAUUGACGGGGGCCCGCACAAGCGGUGGAGCAUGUGGUUUAAUUCGAAGCAACG
Molecule: ribosomal RNA, 560 nt
Filed under: Bacillus subtilis
Lineage: Bacteria; Bacillati; Bacillota; Bacilli; Caryophanales; Bacillaceae
Also listed under: 1 other name
Description: bacterial SSU rRNA
Rfam family: Bacterial small subunit ribosomal RNA
Source: RNAcentral